CAACUAUACUGAUGCAGGUACCUUUUGCAAAUGGUCGCAUGCAGUUGGGCACAUGGAGGAGAGAAUCAUUUUUCGCAGUAUCCUCAAAACCGUGUCUUUUUGACACAACUGCUGACAGCUACAGGGACAUAAACACAAAAAUGCUGCUUGGAGACAAGUGUCCACGAUAGUAGGAUUGCCAGGUCAGUUUACUAGUGAUGUUGUGCUAGAUGUGGCUAGUUAGCGUUAGCUAGCUAGCUAACCUAGCCAAUGAGGUGUGUGUGAAAUAAAUAGUCAAAUAAAUUAUGCUAGUUACUACCCCUGAUAACUUUACCAAAUAAUCAUGUUUGAAAGAGUGAGAGUGUUUAUUCUAGAUAAAUAGCAAUAGAAAUGGUAGAUACUACUGUACCCCUGAUAAUUUGGUCAGAUAACCGUGUGUGUGUGUGUGUGUGUACAGUAGGUGACAUGUCCAUGAUAGCUAUCUAAUAACUAUAGUUAUGCUAGGUAAUGGUUUGGCUUAUCAUGUUCAUGUCUAUGUAGAAGAAGACUGUAGGAGGAAGUGGAGAGGACUCAGGGACCGGUAUCAGAGAGAGAGAAGGGCAGAGAAAGAGAAGAAGAGGUCUGGGUCAGCAGCCUUGGCGCUUCUGCCACAUUCUUUUCUGGAUCCAUUUAUUGUGCCUAGGACAACGAGUGGCAAUUUUACAGCUAGACCCUCUACUACGUCAUCCACAAGUGUUGUUGCCACCGGUGCAUCAAGACCCUCAACGUCACCUACAAAUGCGACCAUCGCCUCCACCGGUGGAGUGAGACCCUCUACAACAUCUACAUCAUCCACGAGUAUGACCACCACUGGUGCAGCCAUGGAAGAUGAUGAAAUGGAGGAAUCACCUCUGGAUCUAGGACCACCUGAGAUUAUUAUGAACCUCACGGAAGUGACCACUGAGGACCUUGUUGAACAGGAUGUGGCCGUGGAGAGAAACGAAUAGGAACAUCACACCAGGCGUCAUCGGAGGUACCAGAUCCACUCAACUAAUUUCAGCAGAGGCUCCUCCAAGCCGUCGAGAGGGAUGCAGCCCAACCUGAUGCUCACUGGAAGGAGGAUGAAGAGACCCUCUUUGCCAUGAGCUUGGUGCCAACACUGAAGAGGCUGCCUCAGAAAAGAAAAGCAACAGUCAAGGUUAAAAUGUAUCAGCUGAUUUUCGAAGCUGAGUUCAAUGAAAUGGAGUCAAUUUAGCCGACCAGCUCACAGGAAGGACAGGAAGAGGACAGGAGUUGUCUGGCUGUUGUUUUGACCUCCCUCGUUGUACCUUUCUUUUCACACACACGUCAGUUCUGUUUAAAUUCAGUCAAUUCAUAAAGUCAUUUGUUUAUAAAGUCUUAGGACAGCAUUCAUUAUUAGUGUUACAUACAUUUCUGAAUUGAAACUCAUACAGAGUUUUCACAGAUGCUCUUGGUCUCUUACGAGACUAAAGGUGAAUAUUUCUUUCAUUUAAAACCACUUGAAAACCAGGGUGUUGAAACUGUUUGUGAAGUUAUGUUCCAUCGACUGGUCCAUGACGUCCAGAGGCCAUUUGUUUGUUUAGCUGUGUUAUGGCUACAUAUUAUUCCCUUUUUCCCAGAGAAUGAGACACACACACACUCUCCUCUCUGUACCUCGGAUCUCCAGUGCCCUGCCCUCUCUCUUUAUGGCCAUGUCUGAAGUUCCCCUACUACGUCUAGGCUUUAUGAGUAGUCCCUGUAUCGGUCUGCAGUUGUGCCAAAAAUACAUGCUCUUGCUGUUCUCUUACAGAUUACAGGCUACACAUUCAUAACAAAUAAAAAUGUACACGCACGCACACACCUCUUUCAAUAGUUUUAUUUUUUUAAACAUUUUUACAACACACAUACCUGUCAUGUUCCUUCCUGUACUUGAAUACUUAUUAAAUUAUAAUGUUUUCAUAGUCAGUUGUUUAUUAAUAUCUAAUUUAGACUUAAUCUGCUUAUUUCUUCCCUACACCUUUGCUGAUCUAAGACAAUAUGAAAGUAAAAACAUCCAGCAUAGGGCCUCAUGAGGUUGGGUCUUAAAGGGAAGGCCUCAUCGCCGACGAAGACGUGGGGAACAGGUCCCAGGUCUUCAGCCCCAGGGAGUGAUGCAGGUGGUGGAAUAUCCAGGGUGCCAUCCUGAAGUGCCUGGCCAAAGGCAGAGUCUCGGAGGGUCCCGCCAUCACUUCCCUUGCCGUAAGCACCAACAUCGACAACACGGAAACAGUAGAUGGCAUCUACCACAGCCAAGAGUACAACUGAAUAUGUACCCUUGUAGUUGUAGAAUUGCGAACCUGAGCACGGUGGAGCCUGGAUUACUACAUGUUUCCCGUCAAUGGAGCCAAGACAGUUGGGGAAAUUCCACCUCUCCAGGAACUCGGCAGCGAUGGCCCUCCAGUCUUCCUCCUUAAGGACAGGCAUGUAUUCACCAGCCAGACACUCCCAAAUGGCUUGCGCCACAGAGGGGACAAUGCCUGCCACCGUGGACCGUCCAACUCAGAAGCUGAAUCCUAUGGUCCUGUAGGAGUCCCCUGUUGCCAAGAAUCUAAAAUAUAAUUAAAAAUAAUGAUCAAUAUUGUGUAUAACUUUAAUUCCACCCACAUAUUAUAUCUACUCAUAUAGCUACCUCAUUAAUGUUUAUUAUGCUUUACUAAUUAUAUUGUAAUACUCAUCAACCAUCAUUAACAAUGCCUUGAAACAGUACAAUUCAGUCUAUGACUAUAUCAAUAAACUGUAGUCCAGGCCAACUCUACUCUUAGAAAGAAUGGUACUAUCUACUUACAGGGUUCUCUGGCUGUCCCAAUAGGAGAUCCCUUUUAGGUUCUAGGUACUACCCCUUUUGGUUCCGAGUAGAACCCUAUUGGGUUCCAUGUAUUAAGUGUUAUACCUGGAACCAAAAAUGGUUAUCAUAUGGGGAAAGCAGAAGGACACUUUUGGAACCUUUUUCUCUAAGAGUGUAUGUGAGUCCAAUAAGAAUGUAAUGAAUGACUGUAACUGUCUUGAACAACAAUGGGUCCUGGAGAAGACUAGCCUACCUUCAUCAGGGCAGAAGGUGUUAUGGGUGUAAGAUGGCACAGUGAUGCCAUCUGUUGGUAAAUGUUCAUUACUGCAACUCUUGUGUUUUACCGGGGUGCUUGAGAUACCCGGAUGUGUUGUGAUGUACUGAACAAGACUGGUUACUCGCAUCAAUGCCUCUGUCUCGUCAUUUAACAUUCAAACAUGGUGUCAGAGUCGGAUAACUAACCAUGCUUUCCGCAAAUUAGAGUCACCUGCUCUGGUUUACAAACAAAUGCUUAUUUGUGUAAAAUUUCGCCCGGAAUUGGCCUUAAGCUAGAGUGAGUUUGCUAGUUAGCUUCAGUGUUGUUAGCACCGGUUAGACAUGGCAGCGAACAUUCCCCCUCCCGCCGUUAUGAAGCUCAGCGGGGAUUGGAGCACGAACUGGGAUACGUUUAGAGGUGAAUGGGAGGACUACGCGCUAGCAACGGGACUUCUGGAAAAGGAAGAUGAGGUAGUGGCUGCCACUUUGAGGACUAUAAUGGGAACUGAAUGCCGACACGUAUACAAACACAACCUGAACCUAACAGCAGCACAGCAAGGUAACGCUAUAGCUAUUCUUGAUGCUCUUGAACAUUACUUUACGCCAGCAAAGAACGUCAUCUACGAGCGUUAUGUUUUCGGUCGUUGCAAACAGGAGGACGGGGAGUCCAUUGACAGCUUUGUCACUAGGUUAAGGGAAAAUGCAGCUACAUGUGACUAUGGUGCUUUAAGAGAUGAACUGAUCAGAGAUACGAUUGUGCUUGGCAUAACGGAUGAAGGCACCCGCAGACGUUUGCUGAGAGAACGUGACCUGAACUGUCUUGAACAACAAUGGGUCCUGGAGAAGACUAGCCUACCUUCAUCAGGGCAGAAGGCACCGUUCUUUUCAUUUGGUAACAUUACAUAAUUGAAAAAGGAUUAUAAACCAACUUUGGGAAAAGUUAUAGUCCCAAUGAACAUUCUGUAAAAGUACAUCUGAUGUCAAAUAGGGACUAUUAACUAGAGCCCUUUAGCUAGCUAGGUUGCACAUAAAAACAAUGUGUCAAAUAUCAAUCAAUUAUGGUAUCAAAGGCUUUAAAAAUGUACUAGAAUGUAGCUUACCGAAGACAAAUUGGCAGGCGUUCAACUGGGCUGAUGGACUCCCGGUAGUUGGUAUCCAUCCAGUGAUCCUGGCUCCAACCAUCUGGAGCAGGUGAUCGAACUGGCUUCGGUCCAGACGAAAGUAAUUUCGGAAUUCCUCUCAAAACAGUCGAAGCUCUUGAAUUAGACAGUAGAAUUCCCCUGCCUGCUUUCGGGACUUUAACCAUCUCUGGAUCCACACAGACCUGCGCUUUCGGCGGGGCUGGUCCCGGUCCAACAGUGCGAUCAAGACCACCUUCCUCAACGUUGAUCUCAUUGUUGAAAGAGCCUACUCUGCUAUCUUGACUAUUUAUUAUUGCAUUUCGCUCGAAAAUUGCAUUUUGGAGGGAAAUUAUAUUAUAGGCUCUCACAAUUAAUUUAUGGAUGUCAUCGAAUAAAUAAUAUACUUGGUAAAUAAAAUAAUAAUACAUUUGAA
This is a non-coding RNA of Oncorhynchus mykiss (rainbow trout), 4591 nucleotides long. NCBI's taxonomy places the organism in Eukaryota, Metazoa, Chordata, Actinopteri, Salmoniformes, Salmonidae. The record is from RefSeq and is a predicted model, not a curated record.